GACGAACGCUGGCGGCGUGCUUAACACAUGCAAGUCGAACGGAAAGGCCCUGCUUUUGUGGGGUGCUCGAGUGGCGAACGGGUGAGUAACACGUGAGUAACCUGCCCUUGACUUUGGGAUAACUUCAGGAAACUGGGGCUAAUACCGGAUAGGAGCUCCUGCUGCAUGGUGGGGGUUGGAAAGUUUCGGCGGUUGGGGAUGGACUCGCGGCUUAUCAGCUUGUUGGUGGGGUAGUGGCUUACCAAGGCUUUGACGGGUAGCCGGCCUGAGAGGGUGACCGGCCACAUUGGGACUGAGAUACGGCCCAGACUCCUACGGGAGGCAGCAGUGGGGAAUAUUGCACAAUGGGCGGAAGCCUGAUGCAGCAACGCCGCGUGCGGGAUGACGGCCUUCGGGUUGUAAACCGCUUUCGCCUGUGACGAAGCGUGAGUGACGGUAAUGGGUAAAGAAGCACCGGCUAACUACGUGCCAGCAGCCGCGGUGAUACGUAGGGUGCGAGCGUUGUCCGGAUUUAUUGGGCGUAAAGGGCUCGUAGGUGGUUGAUCGCGUCGGAAGUGUAAUCUUGGGGCUUAACCCUGAGCGUGCUUUCGAUACGGGUUGACUUGAGGAAGGUAGGGGAGAAUGGAAUUCCUGGUGGAGCGGUGGAAUGCGCAGAUAUCAGGAGGAACACCAGUGGCGAAGGCGGUUCUCUGGGCCUUUCCUGACGCUGAGGAGCGAAAGCGUGGGGAGCGAACAGGCUUAGAUACCCUGGUAGUCCACGCUGUAAACGGUGGGUACUGGGUGUGGGGUCCAUUCCACGGGUUCCGUGCCGUAGCUAACGCUUUAAGUACCCCGCCUGGGGAGUACGGCCGCAAGGCUAAAACUCAAAGGAAUUGACGGGGCCCCGCACAAGCGGCGGAGCAUGCGGAUUAAUUCGAUGCAACGCGUAGAACCUUACCUGGGUUUGACAUGGAUCGGGAGUGCUCAGAGAUGGGUGUGCCUCUUUUGGGGUCGGUUCACAGGCGGUGCAUGCCUGUCGUCAGCUCGUGUCGUGAGAUGUUGGGUUAAGUCCCGCAACGAGCGCAACCCUUGUUCACUGUUGCCAGCACGUUAUGGUGGGGACUCAGUGGAGACCGCCGGGGUCAACUCGGAGGAAGGUGGGGAUGACGUCAAGUCCUCAUGCCCCUUAUGUCCAGGGCUUCACGCAUGCUACAAUGGCUGGUACAGAGAGUGGCGAGCCUGUGAGGGUGAGCGAAUCUCGGAAAGCCGGUCUCAGUUCGGAUUGGGGUCUGCAACUCGACCUCAUGAAGUCGGAGUCGCUAGUAAUCGCAGAUCAGCAACGCUGCGGUGAAUACGUUCCCGGGGCU
RNAcentral lists this ribosomal RNA (1346 nucleotides) under uncultured bacterium. Its description in RNAcentral is "bacterial SSU rRNA". It matches the Rfam family "Bacterial small subunit ribosomal RNA", at positions 28 to 1381 of the family's 1533-position model. The record is from RNAcentral.